RNAcentral lists this unclassified non-coding RNA (1137 nucleotides) under Pleosporales sp. KO-groupF 2014. RNAcentral describes it as "partial contains ITS1, 5.8S rRNA, ITS2 and LSU". The stretch from base 502 to 1137 matches the Rfam family "Eukaryotic large subunit ribosomal RNA", at positions 1 to 652 of the family's 3401-position model. The record is from RNAcentral. Lineage: Eukaryota; Fungi; Ascomycota; Dothideomycetes; Pleosporales.
UCCGUAGGUGAACCUGCGGAAGGAUCAUUACGUACUGUAGGCCGGUCUGACCGGUUCUAUUCUACCCUGUUUUUUGCGCACUCUCUGUUUCCUCGGCAGGCUUUGCUUGCCGAUAGGACUCAAUUUUAACUCUAUGUUAUCAGUAUUCAGCGUCAAAACAAAUACAAAAAUUUGUAACAACUUUCAACAACGGAUCUCUUGGUUCUGGCAUCGAUGAAGAACGCAGCGAAAUGCGAUAAGUAGUGUGAAUUGCAGAAUUCCGUGAAUCAUCGAAUUUUUGAACGCACAUUGCGCCUAUUGGUAUUCCAAUAGGCAUGCCUGUUCGAGCGUCAUUUCAAACCUUCAAGCCUUGCUUGGUGUUGGGCGCUGUCUGAAUUGUAAAAAAAAAUUUCAGCAGACUCGCCUUGAAUUCAUUGGCAGCCAGCAAUUGGGUGUUGGAGCGCAGCACAUUUCGCGUUCUCAGCCACAGUCGUUGGCGUCCAAAAAGCUUAUUUCCACGUUUGACCUCGGAUCAGGUAGGGAUACCCGCUGAACUUAAGCAUAUCAAUAAGCGGAGGAAAAGAAACCAACAGGGAUUGCCUUAGUAACGGCGAGUGAAGCGGCAAUAGCUCAAAUUUGAAAUCUGGCUCUUUUAGGGUCCGAGUUGUAAUUUGUAGAGGGCGCUUUGGCGUUUGCAGCGGUCUAAGUUCCUUGGAACAGGACGUCACAGAGGGUGAGAAUCCCGUACGUGGUCGCUAGUAUUCGCCGUGUAAAGCCCCUUCGACGAGUCGAGUUGUUUGGGAAUGCAGCUCUAAAUGGGAGGUAAAUUUCUUCUAAAGCUAAAUACUGGCCAGAGACCGAUAGCGCACAAGUAGAGUGAUCGAAAGAUGAAAAGCACUUUGGAAAGAGAGUCAAACAGCACGUGAAAUUGUUGAAAGGGAAGCGCUUGCAGCCAGACUUGCCUGUAGUUGCUCAUCCGAGCUUUUGCCCGGUGCACUCUUCUGCGGGCAGGCCAGCAUCAGUUUGGGCGGUUGGAUAAAGGUCUCUGUCACGUACCUCCUUUCGGGGAGGCCUUAUAGGGGAGGCGACAUGCAACCAGCCUGGACUGAGGUCUGCGCAUCUGCUAGGAUGCUGGCGUAAUGGCUGUAAGCGGCCCGU